ACUCAAAUGAAUUGACGGGGGCCCGCACAAGCGGUGGAGUAUGUGGUUUAAUUCGAAGCAACGCGCAGAACCUUACCUGGGCUUGACAUCUGGAGACAAUGGCAGAGAUGUCACUUUCCCUUCGGGGACUCCAAGACAGGUGCUGCAUGGCUGUCGUCAGCUCGUGUCGUAAGAUGUUGGGUUAAGUCCCGCAACGAGCGCAACCCUUGCCUUUAGUUGCCACCAUUAAGUUGAGCACUCUAGAGGGACUGCCGGUGUUAAACCGGAGGAAGGCGGGGAUGACGUCAAGUCCUCAUGGCCCUUACGCCCAGGGCUACACACGUACUACAAUGGCAGAGACAAACCGUUGCGAAGCCGCGAGGUGGAGCCAAUCGGAAAAACACUGUCUCAGUCCGGAUUGAAGUCUGCAACUCGACUUCAUGAAGCUGGAAUCGCUAGUAAUCGCAGAUCAGCACGCUGCGGUGAAUACGUUCCCGGGCCUUGCACACACCGCCCGU
RNAcentral lists this ribosomal RNA (497 nucleotides) under uncultured bacterium. RNAcentral describes it as "partial 16S ribosomal RNA". It matches the Rfam family "Bacterial small subunit ribosomal RNA", at positions 899 to 1397 of the family's 1533-position model. The record is from RNAcentral.